AUUGGCAGUAUAAACGGAGCUUAACAAUACUUUCAAUGUAAGAAGUUUUUUUGCCGAACUGAACGAACAAAUGAAGUGCCGCCGAAUUUCAACGAGCAACAACCAAUAAAAUACAAAUCAUUUACAAAAAGAAGCCCACACGAAAAAGUGGUUUAUAGUUAAAGUGAACAUUAAAAAAAGUGAAGUGAAGAUAUUAAAAAAAUAUUAGUGCAUCAGCUAACAAUUAUAUUAGUUAAUCAGAUUGUAUUUAUUAGAAACUGGCGACUGUUGAUGGUUUAUAUAUCCAUACAAACAUUACUGGGAAAACAUUGAAGAAGAAAAUUAUCUUAAAAUAUUGUCAAGAUGCAGCUUUACUCUGGGCCCUACAUGGGUAUUUUGUGCCUUUCCAAAAAGUUGUGAGGAAAGACAACGAGGGAAAAAAUACGUUCACGAGAUUUACCAUCAAGGACUCCCAGAAUUUGUUUGUUUGGGUCGGUGCUUUAUUUAUUUGAUAAUGAAUGAACUUAACUGCAAUAAAUAAAAAUUGUAAAAUUAAAUUAACUAGAUCUUUUUUAUUAGUUCGAAAUUCUUUAUUUUCAGAAUUUUUAUAAUUUUCAGCAUAGAUUUCGAUAGUGAGGUCCAGGAUGAAGUGACUCAUUGGCGCUGUAAACAGGUUUGUAACUGGAAGUUGGAAACUUUUUUUUAAAAAUAUUAAUAUGAAUGUUUUCUUUUAUACGUUUUAGAUCAAUAUUUGCUGGACUUACACGACUGAAAAAGUUUC
Long non-coding RNA from Eupeodes corollae, 760 nucleotides. RefSeq lists it as uncharacterized. The transcript has 3 exons. NCBI's taxonomy places the organism in Eukaryota, Metazoa, Arthropoda, Insecta, Diptera, Syrphidae. The record is from RefSeq and is a predicted model, not a curated record.